Molecule: ribosomal RNA, 201 nt
Filed under: uncultured prokaryote
Description: partial 16S ribosomal RNA
Rfam family: Bacterial small subunit ribosomal RNA
Source: RNAcentral
UACGGAGGCGGCUAGCGUUGUUCGGAAUUACUGGGCGUAAAGCGCACGCAGGCGGUCUCUUAAGUUUGUAGGGACAGGGCACAGCUCAACUGUGUCAGGCUUACGAAAACUGGGAGACUUGAGGGCUUCAGAGGGAUGGGGAAUGCCGGGUGUAGUGGUGAAAUGCGUAGAGAUCCGGCGGAACACCGGUGGUGAAGACGG